Pocillopora damicornis (cauliflower coral) is the source of this 1600-nucleotide long non-coding RNA. NCBI's taxonomy places the organism in Eukaryota, Metazoa, Cnidaria, Anthozoa, Scleractinia, Pocilloporidae. The record is from RefSeq and is a predicted model, not a curated record.
GUCAAGUUUCUCCUAGUUUCCUGUGCUUUGAAACAGUCGAAGAACGUCGAAGAAAGCUCUACCUAGUAUUACAGGGCCGCGCUGACUUCGUGAUGUCUACAUUCGCUGUCGCUCUGACACGUAGACUGUUGGACUCGGGGAAUCAAAUUUUAAAAAUGAGAUAACUUGUUUGCAGGAUCCAGACUGCGUUUUCACCGUGUACAUUUAAGAGGGGAAGGGAAUAUUAGUAGUCUAGUGUGGUAGAACUAACUCUCUUUGAAUAAUAGGCGUUAGGGAGGGUUCGUGAGUAUGGCCGGUGAAACUCGUUCCUCCAGCGAUUUUAUGCAUAGAAUGUCGGUGCACCGUUACUCACAGAAUGUUACAGUUACCUUCGUAGAGAACACAACGGUUAUUCAGUCCAGAAGAUUCGCUGUUUGUUUUGCUUCUACUGGGAGUGAGAAAAUUGGUUUGAUUAAGAAAUACUUGACCAUGUCCUUGUUUUUUUCUCGUCGCAUUUUUUUUAAAGGGUUCUGUACAUGUGUAUUAUGAGCGGGUUGAAAGGUAGAAGUUGGAUCAGUUUUUAAACGUGACUGAUACCUGUGUUCCAUCAGUCUUCCUACAAAUCAUCUGGUUCUAAUUUUACGUUUUAAGGAGAACUUGGAAUGCGAAGACGAAAGAACUAAUUUUCAGUGGGCAAAUUUUUAGACUCACAACUUGGUUGCUGUCCAACAACAUUCGAAGUAAAAAAUUUUCUUCAGCAACGUUUUGUUAUUAUCGCACACAUAGCUCCAAGUCCAGAGUAAAUGUGGGUCGAAAAGCCAAAAUGACAAAUUGUAAGCGUUUUUAAGGAUUUUUAGUCUUUUCUCAGUGUUCAUUCAGAAGAAGGAAUUUGCAGUUUGAAGCUUACAGAUUGAUCGUCGGUGUUUCUUCUUACUUCAAAUGGAAAUCUGUUUACUCCUGGUUGGUCAUCUUGAACGGAAGGAUCAAUAAAUCGGUAGCUCACCAAAUUUUUAUCUCGCAUGUCUUGCACGCCUCCCUUGCAUUAAAGAAAAGAAGAAGAAGAGGAAAGAAAAAGCCCAGUGCCUCGAACGCCCGUUGGCCUGGAACUCUGAAGGAUGUGAUUUAAAGCAUGUUUCAGAGUCCAGUUUGAUGGAAGAUGUUUUUGCAAAGUUCAUUGCGUGACACUGUUUAAAGGCUUCGCGAACUGUUACACAACACGUCACUCUAUUUUGGACGUGUGACUUUUGUGUUUCUGCUGUCAUUUUUUCCCCCGAUCUUUAAAAUCUGUAUAAACUGUUUUCGAUAACACCAUGGGCAUUGCAUUUUGUCAUCAGUCAUUAACGAAGUUUUGCCUCCUUGUCAAAUGAAUGCGACAAACUUUAAACUUUGGAUUUUACUGUAAAUGUCUUAUUUCUCGUUGUAUUUUGAUUGAUUGUGACUAGGCAGAGAUGUGGGAUGUUUUUUUUUGGAUGGAACAGAACUCUUCUCAGCGUUUUGUGAAAAUCAGAGGGGAUUGUUUGUUUGAGGAUUUUUUAGCUCUAAUAUCUGCUUGUAACAAUGGUAUAUUCCGAUUUACGACAAAUGUAACUGAAAUACGAGCUGUUGAAAUAUUUAAUAAUCA